Molecule: non-coding RNA, 1298 nt
Organism: Prunus avium (sweet cherry)
Lineage: Eukaryota; Viridiplantae; Streptophyta; Magnoliopsida; Rosales; Rosaceae
Source: RefSeq, a predicted model, not a curated record
CUUGCUCCAUUUUCCAGAUGCUAUGUUUUCUUCUGUUUUGCUUUUCUUCUUCUUCAAAUCUUUACUGGUUUCUUCUGAAAUGACAUCUGGGUGGAAAAUCUAGCAGUAUUGGCUAGGUCUGAAACACACACAGGCCCGAAUCAUCAAUGACCAUCGUCAACUGCCAUUGUCAACAUUUGUAGCCGCCAUAUCUGCGUACGGCCGCCAUUUCACUUCUCCAUAUCUUCGUCCAUUCAGUACUUGCAGAGCGGUUUUCUAGUGCAACUCUAUGUCUAUGGAAUCUAGUCGGCCUGUAAAUCGGGAUGAUAUUGUGGAAGGCUUUGGCGCGCAUGCACCGUCUAGCGGUAAAGGCUCACACAUCCUUCACAACAACCCACAAGUUCAGAGCCAGAAGAAGACUAAGAAAGCGUAAGAACUCUAUUUUUUAUUUAUUUAUUCUCUUUUUCUGAUUUAGAUCAGGUUGAAGUGUUAGAUUAUGACCGUAAUUUGACAAAUUCAGGUUCUCCCUGUUUGAUGAAAUGCCUUAAAGGCAUCUUGUUGUCAAACUUCAGUUCCCCUAAUUUACACUACCCAACAUUCACAUAUACAUAUAUAGUUAAAUGCUGAAACAAUAUUGACACGAUUUAUCUGAAGCUGAAGCUUAAAGGAAGGCCGCUGAUUAGCUAGAUCAGACACUCCUACUGUUGCAGCCUUCAGAUACAGCUUUUUAUCAUUUGGCGUUUCCUUCUGAAAGCAUGCAUCAUUGCCAUUGGUGUUUGCAAAAUUAAGUACUUCAUUGGUCUUUGGUAUUCAUAUGCUUUCUGCAGUGUUUCUGUUAAUUAGUUGUUUGAUGGUUUCUGUAUCCUCGCGGUAUAUCCAACAAACAACAAUAAGUGCAUGAAUUGUGGAUAUCAUCAACAUAUUAUAUUGCUCUUAUUGUGUCUCGCUUUUGUCUUGAUCAAAAAUUUAAUUAAAGUGUUCAACUAUUUCCUCUGUAUAAGCAGAGUAGAGGAGGUUUUCUCUCAUGCAAAUUGGUUAGUUGCAGCUAAGGGCACAUGAAUUACUUCAGCUUUUAGAUUGAAGGUGAUGAGAGUGCAGUUGACGUUGGGUUUUAGGAUUGUCGGACUAAUUGCUGAAGUAACUCAUCUGCAACUCGUGUGCAUGAAAGAAAAGCUCGUGAAGGUAGAACCCUUGGUUACCACUCUCUUGUCUUCUAAUUUCUACAUUUUCUUCAAUGUCACAGCCUUGGCCCUGCCACUUCACUCCCCAGUCCGUCUUCUGCAAUGACUGGCAGGGGAAAGAAGGCAUCCGCCGUGCCU